ACGUGAUCUGAGUUCAGACCGGAGUAAUCCAGGUCAGUUUCUAUCUAUAAGGAGCUUUUUUUAGUACGAAAGGACCAAAAAAGCAUGGCCCCUGUUUUCAGCAAACCAUUUCUAUUAAUUUAUGUCUAAAACUUAACUCUUACAUAGUCCUUCCCUCUGUUCAAGAAAAGAACA
RNAcentral lists this ribosomal RNA (174 nucleotides) under Eupsophus calcaratus (Chiloe Island ground frog). RNAcentral's name for it is "partial 16S ribosomal RNA". Lineage: Eukaryota; Metazoa; Chordata; Amphibia; Anura; Alsodidae. The record is from RNAcentral.